RNAcentral lists this ribosomal RNA (544 nucleotides) under uncultured bacterium. Its description in RNAcentral is "bacterial SSU rRNA". It matches the Rfam family "Bacterial small subunit ribosomal RNA", at positions 772 to 1306 of the family's 1533-position model. The record is from RNAcentral.
ACUCAAUAGAUACCCAGGUAGUCCACGCCCUAAACGAUGUCUACUAGUUGUUGGUGGAGUAAAAUCCAUGAGUAAACGCAGCUAACGCGUGAAGUAGACCGCCUGGGGAGUACGGUCGCAAGAUUAAAACUCAAAGGAAUUGACGGGGGCCCGGCACAAGCGGUGGAUUAUGUGGAUUAAUUACGAUGCAACGCGAAAACCUUAACCUGGCCUUGACAUGCCACUAACGAAGCAGAGAUGCAUUAGGUGCCCGUAACGGGAAAGUGGACACAGGUGCUGCAUGGCUGUCGUCAGCUCGUGUCGUGAGAUGUUGGGUUAAGUUCCCGCAACGAGCGCAACCCUUGCCAUUAAUUGCCAUCAUUUAAGUUGGGCACUUUAAUGGGACUGCCGGUGACAAACCGGAGGAAGGUGGGGAGUGACGUCAAGUCCUCAUGGCCCUUAUGGCCAGGGCUUCACACGUAAUACAAUGGUCGGUACAGAGAGUUGCCAACCCGCGAGGGGGUAGCUAAUCUCAGAAAGCCGAUCGUAGUCCGGAUUGUUCUCU